CCUACGGGAGGCAGCAGUAGGGAAUCUUCCACAAUGGACGAAAGUCUGAUGGAGCAACGCCGCGUGAGUGAAGAAGGGUUUCGGCUCGUAAAGCUCUGUUGGUAGUGAAGACAGAUAGAGGUAGUAACUGUCCUUUAUUUGACGGUAAUUACUUAGAAAGGCACGGCAAACUACUGGCCAGCAGCCGCGGUAAUAAGGAGGUGGCAAGCGUUGUCCGUUUUUAUUGGGAGUAAAGCGAGUGCAGGCGGUUCAAUAAGUGUGAUGUGAAAGCCUUCGGCUUAAACGGAGAAUUGCAGCAGAAACUGUUGGACGUGAGGGAAGAAGAGGAGAGAGGAACGCGAGGUGUAGCGGUGGAAUGCGUAGAUAUAUGGAAGAACACCAGUGGCGAAGGCGGCUCUCUGGUCUGCAACUGACGCUGAGGCUCGAAAGCAUGGGUAGCGAACAGGAUUAGAUACCCUAGUAGUC
This 465-nucleotide ribosomal RNA is filed under the name uncultured bacterium. RNAcentral's name for it is "partial 16S ribosomal RNA". It matches the Rfam family "Bacterial small subunit ribosomal RNA", at positions 338 to 795 of the family's 1533-position model. The record is from RNAcentral.